GACUCACUAGCAUUGGGGUACAGGGAUAAAGGAGGGGUUGUGUCCCCCAGUACUUUGAGAGAUCCAUUGCGUUAUGCCCCAGUGGACUCUCCCUUGAUUCAAACAAAGCAGACAGCACAGCCUGCCGCAGGUGCUCUCAGCGGUGACCCCAGCAGGCCGCAGCGGGAGGGGCGGGCGUCUGUCCUGCUCGGCGCCGCGCUCCCGCCUUUCUGAGUUGCCGGGAUGGCGGCGGUUGGCGUGUGGUGUGUGACAGGGCCGUGGCGGCCGCUGCUGCCAGAACAUGUGCAGCAGGAGAGCGGGGAUCUUGUCUAUGGUAGGAAAAGGGGAAGCAAGGUUAAAAGAAUGAAGCCAGCAAAGGAAAAAAGUAGUGCUUUGGGCGGAUUUGGUGUGAAAGUUCCUUGGUUUGGAAAUCAUCUUGCAAAGACUGUGGGAAAUGCUGCCCUAUGUGAGGUUCUAAACUGGCAGGCAGAGUACCUUUGUGCAUGAUGCGGAAACAUCAUUGUUACUUCACAGGCUGCUGGGAACACACUGAAGGCAAAUGGAUCAGACUGAGGAUGGUAUGCUGCUGGAAGAUACAGAUCAGAAGCAGUCAUCUUCUGUGGGCUGGAAAGUGUCAGAGUUGUUAUCUUUCACAAAUAUCAGAAAUGAGCAGCAAAAUUACCUUUCACUUCUGGAGCAAACACACGUCUCUCUCUUCCAUACCAUACAGUCAGCAGUAAGAUCUAAUGACUGGGAUGCUGCAGCACGUAGCAAAUGCGGCUUUCUUUGUAAGAAGUCUAUUAGUAGUAGUUAUUCACAAAUAGGUAUUGCGAAGGAAAAUGCUGAGUCAUUAAGAAUAGGAGUGAGAAUUGCAGACAGCUCCAUAUCUGAAGAUGUCAAACAGCUGUCUGAAUCAAAGCCAGAAGUAUCUGUUUCUGGAGGACACAAAAAAUUCUAUGCUAGUGACUCGCUGCGAAAACAUAUUCUCCCUUACGUGUUUUUGAUCAAAAAUUGCCUUUCUAUGCCACUUUCUUUGAUCCAAGACAAAUGUUUCAGUGGAGAGAUAUUAAGCAAAAUACAGUAUUUAAGGAAAGAGAAGAGGAUCACAGCAACAUCAGAGACUCCUGUUUCCAAAUUAGAUGCUUCUGAAGUGCCAGAAGUACCAUAUGUUGUCUUCCGUAACCUGAGGGAAUUGCAAUGGAAGCUGUAUAAAGGCAUUGUGAAGAGGAGGGAGUCUAGCCGAAUUUUUUGGAGAGAAGCAAAUUAUGGAACUUUUACAAUACCGGAUGGAACAGCUGUAAAGACAUACUACAACCUCCCUUUGAUUUUUAAAGAUUCAGUAACUUUGUCAGUUUAUCCUGCAUAUCCUGUUCUACAUCUUGAAUUUAAAAGGAAAUAAAUAACUGCAGCUCAGAAGAGGAAGCAAAU
This 1407-nucleotide long non-coding RNA is filed under the name Gallus gallus (chicken). Its description in RNAcentral is "long non-coding RNA NONGGAT011867". Lineage: Eukaryota; Metazoa; Chordata; Aves; Galliformes; Phasianidae. The record is from RNAcentral.